This 403-nucleotide ribosomal RNA is filed under the name uncultured Alphaproteobacteria bacterium. RNAcentral describes it as "SSU rRNA". It matches the Rfam family "Bacterial small subunit ribosomal RNA", at positions 242 to 662 of the family's 1533-position model. The record is from RNAcentral. Lineage: Bacteria; Pseudomonadati; Pseudomonadota; Alphaproteobacteria.
CAGCUAGUUGGUGAGGUAAAGGCUCACCAAGGCGACGAUCGGUAGCUGGUCUGAGAGGACGACCAGCCACACUGGGACUGAGACACGGCCCAGACUCCUACGGGAGGCAGCAGUGGGGAAUCUUGGACAAUGGGGGAAACCCUGAUCCAGCCAUGCCGCGUGAGUGAUGAAGGCCCUAGGGUUGUAAAACUCUUUCGGCGGGGACGAUAAUGACGGUACCCGCAGAAGAAGCUCCGGCUAACUUCGUGCCAGCAGCCGCGGUAAUACGAAGGGGGCUAGCGUUGUUCGGAAUUACUGGGCGUAAAGCGCGCGCAGGCGGUCCUUCAAGUCAGAGGUGAAAGCCCAGAGCUCAACUCUGGAACGGCCUUUGAGACUAGAGGACUUGGGUACGGGAGAGGUGAGU